Molecule: RNase P RNA, 376 nt
Filed under: Bacteroidales bacterium
Lineage: Bacteria; Pseudomonadati; Bacteroidota; Bacteroidia; Bacteroidales
Description: RNase P RNA component class A
Rfam family: Bacterial RNase P class A
About the family: Ribonuclease P (RNase P) is a ubiquitous endoribonuclease, found in archaea, bacteria and eukarya as well as chloroplasts and mitochondria. Its best characterised activity is the generation of mature 5'-ends of tRNAs by cleaving the 5'-leader elements of precursor-tRNAs.
Source: RNAcentral
GCAGAAGACCGGUCUGUCGCUGCUGACACUUUGUCAGGAGAGGAAAGUCCGGGCAACAUAGGGUAUCUUGCUUCCUAACGGAAAGCUGUUGGCGACAGCAGAGUAAUGCAGAAGAAAACAACCACCUUAUAAAGUAACAUAAGGAAAGGGUGAGAAGGUGGGGUAAGAGCCUACCAGUCGGGUGGCGACAUCCGAGCUGUGCAUCUGAGGAGUUGAAAGAUCAUGUAAACCAGCGCUAUGAGGGCGACCCGUCCAAGCUGGAGGGUAGAUCGAUAGAGGCUAUUGGUGACAGUAGUCGUAGAUAAAUGACAGACAGCGUCGCAUUCCCAUAAGAAAGGCUACGCUACAGAACCCGGCUUACAGGCCUUCUGCUUUU